CCUACGGGAGGCAGCAGUAGGGAAUAUUGCUCAAUGGGGGAAACCCUGAAGCAGCAACGCCGCGUGGAGGAUGAAGGUCUUCGGAUGGUAAACCUCUGUCAGCAGGGAAGAACGGUCACUGUGCUAAUCAGCAGUGAAUUGACGGUACCUGCAAAGGAAGCACCGGCUAACUCCGUGCCAGCAGCCGCGGUAAUACGGAGGGUGCGAGCGUUAAUCGGAAUUACUGGGCGUAAAGCGCUCGUAGGCGGUAUGUCAAGUCAAGGGUGAAAUCCCCGCGCUCAACGUGGGAACUGCCUUUGAAACUGGCAAACUGGAGUGUGUGAGAGGAUAGUGGAAUUCCAGGUGUAGGAGUGAAAUCCGUAGAUAUCUGGAGGAACAUCAGUGGCGAAGGCGACUAUCUGGCACAUAACUGACGCUGAGGAGCGAAAGCGUGGGUAGCAAACAGGAUUAGAUACCCGAGUAGUC
RNAcentral lists this ribosomal RNA (465 nucleotides) under uncultured bacterium. Its description in RNAcentral is "partial 16S ribosomal RNA". It matches the Rfam family "Bacterial small subunit ribosomal RNA", at positions 338 to 795 of the family's 1533-position model. The record is from RNAcentral.